GACGAACGCUGGCGGCGUGCUUAACACAUGCAAGUCGAACGGAAAGGCCCUGCUUUUGUGGGGUGCUCGAGUGGCGAACGGGUGAGUAACACGUGAGUAACCUGCCCUUGACUUUGGGAUAACUUCAGGAAACUGGGGCUAAUACCGGAUAGGAGCUCCUGCUGCAUGGUGGGGGUUGGAAAGUUUCGGCGGUUGGGGAUGGACUCGCGGCUUAUGAGCUUGUUGGUGGGGUAGUGGCUUACCAACGCAUUGACGGGUAGCCGGCCUGAGAGGGUGACCGGCGACAAUGCGCCUGAGAGAGGGAGCAGUGUCGAACGGUAGGCAACGGGCGAGAACAUUGCACAAUGAGGCGAAGCGUGAUGCGGAGGCCCUCGGUGCGGAAAGACGUCCUUCGGGGUAUAAACCGCUGUCGCCUGUGACGAAGCGUGAGUGACGGUACCGGGUAAAGAAGCACCGGCUAACUACGUG
Molecule: ribosomal RNA, 468 nt
Filed under: uncultured bacterium
Lineage: Bacteria
Description: partial 16S ribosomal RNA
Rfam family: Bacterial small subunit ribosomal RNA
Source: RNAcentral